GAUGAACGCUGGCGGCGUGCCUAAUACAUGCAAGUCGAGCGAACAGACGAGGAGCUUGCUCCUCUGACGUUUGCGGCGGACGGGUGAGUAACACGUGGAUAACCUACCUAUAAGACUGGGAUAACUUCGGGAAACCGGAGCUAAUACCGGAUAAUCUAUUGAACCGCAUGGUUCAAUAGUGAAAGACGGUUUUGCUGUCACUUAUAGAUGGAUCCGCGCCGCAUUAGCUAGUUGGUAAGGUAACGGCUUACCAAGGCAACGAUGCGUAGCCGACCUGAGAGAGUGAUCGGCCACACUGGAACUGAGACACGGUCCAGACUCCUACGGGAGGCAGCAGUAGGGAAUCUUCCGCAAAGGGCGAAAGCCUGACGGAGCAACGCCGCGUGAGUGAUGAAGGUCUUCGGAUCGUAAAACUCUGUUAUUAGUGAAGAACAAAUGUGUAAGUAACUAUGCACGUCUUGACGGUACCUAAUCAGAAAGCCACGGCUAACUACGUG
RNAcentral lists this ribosomal RNA (497 nucleotides) under uncultured bacterium. RNAcentral's name for it is "partial 16S ribosomal RNA". It matches the Rfam family "Bacterial small subunit ribosomal RNA", at positions 28 to 507 of the family's 1533-position model. The record is from RNAcentral.